GACGAACGCUGGCGGCGUGCCUAAUACAUGCAAGUAGAACGCUGAAGGAGGAGCUUGCUUCUCCGGAUGAGUUGCGAACGGGUGAGUAACGCGUAGGUAACCUGCCUGGUAGCGGGGGAUAACUAUUGGAAACGAUUGCUAAUACCGCAUAACAGUAGAUAUUGCAUGAUAUCUGCUUGAAAGGUGCAAUUGCAUCACUACCAGAUGGACCUGCGUUGUAUUAGCUAGUUGGUGGGGUAACGGCUCACCAAGGCGACGAUACAUAGCCGACCUGAGAGGGUGAUCGGCCACACUGGGACUGAGACACGGCCCAGACUCCUACGGGAGGCAGCAGUAGGGAAUCUUCGGCAAUGGACGGAAGUCUGACCGAGCAACGCCGCGUGAGUGAAGAAGGUUUUCGGAUCGUAAAGCUCUGUUGUAAGAGAAGAACGAGUGUGAGAGUGGAAAGUUCACACUGUGACGGUAUCUUACCAGAAAGGGACGGCUAACUACGUG
This 495-nucleotide ribosomal RNA is filed under the name uncultured bacterium. RNAcentral's name for it is "partial 16S ribosomal RNA". It matches the Rfam family "Bacterial small subunit ribosomal RNA", at positions 28 to 507 of the family's 1533-position model. The record is from RNAcentral.